GGGGCUGUAGCUCAUUGGUAGGGCAUUUGCUUGGCAUGCAGAAGGGCCUAGGUUCAAUCAGCAUUUCCA
Molecule: transfer RNA, 69 nt
Filed under: Sphaerodactylus townsendi
Lineage: Eukaryota; Metazoa; Chordata; Lepidosauria; Squamata; Sphaerodactylidae
Description: tRNA-Ala
Rfam family: tRNA
About the family: Transfer RNA (tRNA) molecules are approximately 80 nucleotides in length. Their secondary structure includes four short double-helical elements and three loops (D, anti-codon, and T loops).
Source: RNAcentral